UCGCCAUCUUGGAUCCGCGGGACAAGAAAAUUCAUGCGAGGGAGACGUGGUGGGCGGUCCUUCCUGUGACACGACCCUUGAGUGACAGUUCUAUUUGAUUGCCUCCGGUACUGUGAGGAAAGGACACGACUCUAUGGUGAGGACUGAUGGACAUACAUUAUCUGAGAAAAGAAACUACCAGCCUCCAGCUCUGAGCUUUCCAAUCCCCAGAGUAGCAAAUGUUGAAAGAAGUUGCACAGGGAGAAGAUGGGUGUAGUUCAACCCUUUCAUAUCAUCCAUCCAUCCAUUCCUACUAGUUCUGCCUCAGAGUAUAUCCUUUAUUCAGCUACUACUCACCACCUUAUUAGGCCAUCAUUACCUAUCACUGGCCUCCUAAUGCAUUUUCCUGCUUUUGUUUUAUACCCUCUUUAGCCCAUUCCUCAUGGAGUAGCUAGGACCUUUUU
Molecule: small RNA, 443 nt
Filed under: Pongo abelii (Sumatran orangutan)
Lineage: Eukaryota; Metazoa; Chordata; Mammalia; Primates; Hominidae
Description: processed transcript
Source: RNAcentral